This 513-nucleotide ribosomal RNA is filed under the name uncultured bacterium. RNAcentral's name for it is "partial 16S ribosomal RNA". It matches the Rfam family "Bacterial small subunit ribosomal RNA", at positions 28 to 523 of the family's 1533-position model. The record is from RNAcentral.
GACGAACGCUGGCGGCAUGCCUAAUACAUGCAAGUCGAGCGAACAGAUGAAGUGCUUGCACUUCUGACGUUAGCGGCGAACGGGUGAGUAACACGUAAGGAAUCUACCUAUAAGCGGGGGAUAACAUUCGGAAACGGGUGCUAAUUCCGCAUAAUAUCUUCUUCCGCAUGGAAGAAGAUUGAAAGACGGCUCUGCUGUCACUUAUAGAUGACCUUGCGGUGCAUUAGUUAGUUGGUGGGGUAACGGCCUACCAAGACGAUGAUGCAUAGCCGACCUGGGAGGGUGAUCGGCCACAUUGGGACUGAGACACGGCCCAAACUCCUACGGGAGUCAGCAGUAGGGAAUCUUCCGCAAUGGGCGAAAGCCUGACGGAGCAAUGCCGCGUGAGUGAAGAAGGCCUUCGGGUCGUAAAACUCUGUUAUAAGAGAAGAACAAAUUGUAGAGUAACUGCUACAGUCUUGACGGUAUCUUAUCAGAAAGCCACGGCUAACUACGUGCCAGCCGCCGCGGUAA